AACGAACGCUGGCGGCAUGCCUAACACAUGCAAGUCGAACGAGACCUUCGGGUCUAGUGGCGCACGGGGGCGUAACGCGUGGGAACCUGCCCUUAGGUUCGGAAUAACUCCCCGAAAGGGGUGCUAAUACCGGAUAAUGUCUUCGGACCAAAGAUUUAUCGCCUUUGGAUGGGCCCGCGUUGGAUUAGCUAGUUGGUAGGGUAAAAGCCUACCAAGGCGACGAUCCAUAGCUGGUCUGAGAGGAUGAUCAGCCACACUGGGACUGGGACACGGCCCAGACUCCUACGGGAGGCAGCAGUGGGGAAUAUUGGACAAUGGGCGAAAGCCUGAUCCAGCAAUGCCGCGUGAGUGAUGAAGGCCUUAGGGUUGUAAAGCUCUUUUACCCGGGAUGAUAAUGACAGUACCGGGAGAAUAAGCACCGGCUAACUCCGUG
RNAcentral lists this ribosomal RNA (433 nucleotides) under uncultured bacterium. RNAcentral's name for it is "partial 16S ribosomal RNA". It matches the Rfam family "Bacterial small subunit ribosomal RNA", at positions 29 to 507 of the family's 1533-position model. The record is from RNAcentral.